Molecule: ribosomal RNA, 254 nt
Filed under: uncultured bacterium
Lineage: Bacteria
Description: partial 16S ribosomal RNA
Rfam family: Bacterial small subunit ribosomal RNA
Source: RNAcentral
UACGAAGGGGGGCUAGCGUUGCUCGGAAUGACUGGGCGUAAAGGGCGCGUAGGCGGUUUGGUGAGUUGGGCGUGAAAUUCCUGGGCUUAACCUGGGGGCUGCGCAUGAGACGUAGGGUCUGGAGUGCGGAAGAGGGUCGUGGAAUUCCCAGUGUAGAGGUGAAAUUCGUAGAUAUUGGGAAGAACACCGGUGGCGAAGGCGGCGGCCUGGUCCGUAACUGACGCUGAGGCGCGAAAGCGUGGGGAGCAAACAGG